UACGGGGGGGGCAAGCGUUGUUCGGAAUUACUGGGCGUAAAGGGCGCGUAGGCGGCCCUCUAAGUCAGACGUGAAAUCCCACGGCUCAACCGUGGAACUGCGUCUGAUACUGGAGGGCUUGAAUCCGGGAGAGGGAUGUGGAAUUCCAGGUGUAGCGGUGAAAUGCGUAGAUAUCUGGAGGAACACCGGUGGCGAAAGCGGCUCACUGGACCCGAUCUGACACUGAGGUGCGAAAGCUAGGGUAGCAAACGGG
RNAcentral lists this ribosomal RNA (253 nucleotides) under uncultured bacterium. RNAcentral describes it as "partial 16S ribosomal RNA". It matches the Rfam family "Bacterial small subunit ribosomal RNA", at positions 524 to 776 of the family's 1533-position model. The record is from RNAcentral.